RNAcentral lists this ribosomal RNA (497 nucleotides) under Theileria sinensis. RNAcentral describes it as "SSU rRNA". It matches the Rfam family "Eukaryotic small subunit ribosomal RNA", at positions 512 to 1052 of the family's 1831-position model. The record is from RNAcentral. Lineage: Eukaryota; Apicomplexa; Aconoidasida; Piroplasmida; Theileriidae.
UGGAAUGAAGGGAAAUUAAACCUCUUCCAGAGUAUCAAUUGGAGGGCAAGUCUGGUGCCAGCAGCCGCGGUAAUUCCAGCUCCAAUAGCGUAUAUUAAAUUUGUUGCAGUUAAAAAGCUCGUAGUUGAAUUUCUGCUGCAUWCAUUGCAUCUCUUGCUGAGUGCUUCWGUUUCGGCUUAUUUCGGAUUGAUUUUUUCUUUCCGGAUGAUUACUUUGAGAAAAUUAGAGUGCUCAAAGCAGGCUUUUGCCUUGAAUAGUUUAGCAUGGAAUAAUAAAGUAGGACUUUGGUUCUAUUUUGUUGGUUUUAGGUACCAAAGUAAUGGUUAAUAGGAACAGUUGGGGGCAUUCGUAUUUAACUGUCAGAGGUGAAAUUCUUAGAUUUGUUAAAGACGAACUACUGCGAAAGCAUUUGCCAAGGAUGUUUUCAUUAAUCAAGAACGAAAGUUAGGGGAUCGAAGACGAUCAGAUACCGUCCUAAUCCCUACCCCUUAACUAAA